Molecule: transfer RNA, 66 nt
Filed under: Microhyla pulchella
Lineage: Eukaryota; Metazoa; Chordata; Amphibia; Anura; Microhylidae
Description: partial tRNA-Val
Rfam family: tRNA
About the family: Transfer RNA (tRNA) molecules are approximately 80 nucleotides in length.
Source: RNAcentral
GUGUAGCUUAAUUAAAGCAUCUCGCUUACACCGAAAAUAUAUCUGUUAAACCCGGAUCACCUUGAA